RNAcentral lists this ribosomal RNA (995 nucleotides) under Thalassiosira minuscula. Its description in RNAcentral is "partial Bacterial large subunit ribosomal RNA". It matches the Rfam family "Bacterial large subunit ribosomal RNA", at positions 913 to 1894 of the family's 2925-position model. The record is from RNAcentral. Lineage: Eukaryota; Bacillariophyta; Thalassiosirophyceae; Thalassiosirales; Thalassiosiraceae.
UUUGGGCUAGGGGGUCAUCCCGACUUACCAAACCCAUGCAAACUCCGAAUACCGAGAAGUGCAAUUACGGGAGACACACGGCGGGUGAUAACGUCCGUCGUGGAAAGGGAAACAACCCAGACCAUCAGCUAAGGUCCCAAAAUUAUGGCUCAGUGGAAAACGAUGUGGGAAGGCCCAGACAGCUAGGAGGUUGGCUUAGAAGCAGCCAUCCUUUAAAGAAAGCGUAAUAGCUCACUAGUCGAGUCGGCCUGCGCGGAAGAUGUAACGGGGCUCAAACUGGAUACCGAAGCUGCGGCUGCAUACUUUGUAUGCGGGGUAGGGGAGCGUUGUGUAAGUCUGUGAAGGUGUCCUGAGAGGGAUGCUGGAGAUAUCACAAGUGCGAAUGCUGACAUGAGUAACGAUAAAGGGGGUGAGAGGCCCCCUCGCCGAAAAUCCAAGGUUUCCUGCUCAACGUUAAUCGGAGCAGGGUGAGUCGGCCCCUAAGGCGAGGCAGAAAUGCGUAGUCGAUGGGAAACAGGUUAAUAUUCCUGUACUUGUUAUUACUGCGAUGGGAUGACGGAGAAGGUUAGAUCAGCCAACUGUUGGAUAUGUUGGUUUAAGUGUGUAGACGUGUUGAGUAGGCAAAUCCGCUCGACUUAGUUGAGACAUGAUGACGAGCUUCAAUAGAAGUGAAGUGAUUGAUACCCGGCUUCCAGGAAAAGUCUCUAAGCUUCAGGUAAUAACGAACCGUACCCCAAACCGACACAGGUGGAUGGGAUGAGUAUUCUAAGGCGCUUGAGAGAACUCUGGUGAAGGAACUAGGCAAAAUGGCACCGUAACUUCGGGAGAAGGUGUGCCCCUGUUAGGUGAAGCGACUUGCUCGUGGAGCUGAAAGGGGUUGCAAUGACCAGGUGGCUGCGACUGUUUAUUAAAAACACAGCACUCUGCAAACUCGAAAGAGGACGUAUAGGGUGUGACGCCUGCCCGGUGCUGGAAGGUUAAGAGGAGUGCUUAGC